ACAGAUAAAGAAUUUAAAGCAUCACUUCUAUUAGUCCACAUAGGCAGAUAAAUUUGCAGAUCGUCUGCAUAACAAUGAAAGGACAGGUUGUGCUCAGCUAU
This is a long non-coding RNA of Thalassophryne amazonica, 101 nucleotides long. RefSeq lists it as uncharacterized. NCBI's taxonomy places the organism in Eukaryota, Metazoa, Chordata, Actinopteri, Batrachoidiformes, Batrachoididae. The transcript has 3 exons. The record is from RefSeq and is a predicted model, not a curated record.